GUGUCACUUUGGCAGCACGUGUACUAAAAUUGGAACAACAUAGAGAAGAUUAGCAUGGCCCUGCAUGAGGAUGACAUGCAAAUUCAUGAAGCAUUCCAUAUUUAA
Molecule: small nuclear RNA, 105 nt
Organism: Heterocephalus glaber (naked mole-rat)
Lineage: Eukaryota; Metazoa; Chordata; Mammalia; Rodentia; Bathyergidae
Source: Ensembl